GACGAACGCUGGCGGCGUGCUUAACACAUGCGAGUCGAACGAAGAGCGAUGGAAGCUUGCUUCUAUCAAUCUUAGUGGCGAACGGGUGAGUAACGCGUAAUCAACCUGCCCUUCAGAGGGGGACAACAGUUGGAAACGACUGCCAAUACCGCAUACGAUCUAAUCUCGGCAUCGAGGAUAGAUGAAAGGUGGCCUCUACAUGUAAGCUAUCACUGAAGGAGGGGAUUGCGUCUGAUUAGCUAGUUGGAGGGGUAACGGCCCACCAAGGCGAUGAUCAGUAGCCGGUCUGAGAGGAUGAACGGCCACAUUGGGACUGAGACACGGCCCAGACUCCUACGGGAGGCAGCAGUGGGGAAUCUUCCGCAAUGGACGAAAGUCUGACGGAGCAACGCCGCGUGAGCGAUGACGGCCUUCGGGUUGUAAAGCUCUGUUAAUCGGGACGAAAGGCCUCCUUGCGAAUAGUGAGAAGGAUUGACGGUACCGGAAUAGAAAGCCACGGCUAACUACGUG
RNAcentral lists this ribosomal RNA (510 nucleotides) under uncultured bacterium. Its description in RNAcentral is "partial 16S ribosomal RNA". It matches the Rfam family "Bacterial small subunit ribosomal RNA", at positions 28 to 507 of the family's 1533-position model. The record is from RNAcentral.